RNAcentral lists this ribosomal RNA (491 nucleotides) under uncultured bacterium. RNAcentral's name for it is "partial 16S ribosomal RNA". It matches the Rfam family "Bacterial small subunit ribosomal RNA", at positions 29 to 506 of the family's 1533-position model. The record is from RNAcentral.
AGUGAACGCUGGCGGUAGGCCUAACACAUGCAAGUCGAACGGCAGCACAGUAAGAGCUUGCUCUUACGGGUGGCGAGUGGCGGACGGGUGAGGAAUACAUCGGAAUCUACUUUUUCGUGGGGGAUAACGUAGGGAAACUUACGCUAAUACCGCAUACGACCUACGGGUGAAAGCAGGGGAUCUUCGGACCUUGCGCGAUUGAAUGAGCCGAUGUCGGAUUAGCUAGUUGGCGGGGUAAAGGCCCACCAAGGCGACGAUCCGUAGCUGGUCUGAGAGGAUGAUCCGCCCCCCUGAAACUGGACACCGGUCCAGCCCCCUACGGGGGGACGAGGUGGGGAAUUUUGGCCAAGGGGCGAAAGCCUGAUCCGGCCAUACCGGGUGGGUGAAGAAGGCCUUCGGGUUGUAAAGCCCUUUUGUUGGGAAAAAAAAGCAGCAGGUUAAUCCCCCGCUGUUCUGACGGACCCCAAAAAAUAAGCACCGGCUAACUUCGU